RNAcentral lists this ribosomal RNA (373 nucleotides) under uncultured bacterium. RNAcentral's name for it is "bacterial SSU rRNA". It matches the Rfam family "Bacterial small subunit ribosomal RNA", at positions 527 to 896 of the family's 1533-position model. The record is from RNAcentral.
GUAGGGGGCGAGCGUUGUCCGGAUUUAUUGGGCGUAAAGAGCUCGUAGGCGGCUUGGCAAGUCGGGUGUGUAAACUCCAGGCUCAACCUGGAGACGCCACUCGAGACUGCUAUGGCUAGAGUCCGGUAGGGGACCACGGAAUUCCUGGUGUAGCGGUGAAAUGCGCAGAUAUCAGGAGGAACACCGGUGGCGAAGGCGGUGGUCUGGGCCGGCACUGACGCUGAGGAGCGAAAGCGUGGGGAGCAAACAGGAUUAGAUACCCUGGUAGUCCACGCCGUAAACGUUGGGCACUAGGUGUGGGACCUUAUCAACGGGUUCCGUGCCGUAGCUAACGCAUUAAGUGCCCCGCCUGGGGAGUACGGCCGCAAGGCUA